Molecule: long non-coding RNA, 427 nt
Filed under: Homo sapiens (human)
Lineage: Eukaryota; Metazoa; Chordata; Mammalia; Primates; Hominidae
Description: non-protein coding lnc-NPAS2-1:3
Source: RNAcentral
AUUGAGUGUGACCACCAGGCAACAUCUGGCAAGGAACUGAGUUCCAACAGUGCACAAGGAAGUGAAUCCUGACAACAGUCCCAAGAGCUUAGGAGUGAAUCCUUCUCCACUCCAGCCUCAGAUAAGUCUUGCCCUUAAUUGCAGCCUCAUGAAAGACUCUGAAACCUUGGGCCCAGUUUUUUUAAAUGAUCUCAAGGUGGAUUAAAGACUUAAACUGUAAAACUCCCAGGAGAAAACAUACAGAGGAUCCUUCAUUAUAUUGGUAUUGGCAGUGAUUUAUUGGAUAUGAUGCCAAAAGCACAGUACACAAAAACAAAAACAGAAUACAGCAACGGAACAAUUAACAGAGUGAAAAAGUAACCUGUGGAAUGGGAAAAUGGGAAUGCUGUUCUGCAUAGCAACGGAACAAUUGGCAGAGUGAAAAGGU